GUGAAUCAUCGAAUCUUUGAACGCACAUUGCGCCUUCUGGUAUUCCGGUAGGCAUGCCUGUUUGAGCGUCAGCAAAACACCCUCAGCCUGAGUAUUUUUUGUAUUCAACGCUGGUCUUGGGCGGUGGAUGUUGGGUGGAUAGUCAUUUCCACCUGCGCCCUCCCUAAACUUACUGUACGACCGCAAGCCCCUUCUAGCCAGGUCAAUGGAGUGGUGUUACAAUCUUCCAGAAAGCCUGCUGGUAAACUGCUUUGCGGUGUUUAAACCUUAAUGUCCCCCUCCCAGCGGGGACUGAAGUUU
This 300-nucleotide unclassified non-coding RNA is filed under the name uncultured Ascomycota. Its description in RNAcentral is "sequence contains 5.8S rRNA gene, ITS2". The stretch from base 1 to 71 matches the Rfam family "5.8S ribosomal RNA", at positions 84 to 154 of the family's 154-position model. The record is from RNAcentral. Lineage: Eukaryota; Fungi; Ascomycota.